GUUUGAUCCUGGCUCAGGACGAACGCUGGCGGCGUGCUUAACACAUGCAAGUCGAGCGAUGAAGCUUCCUUCGGGAAGUGGAUUAGCGGCGGACGGGUGAGUAACACGUGGGCAACCUGCCUCAAAGAGGGGAAUAGCCCUCCGAAAGGAGGAUUAAUACCGCAUAAAGUUAGAGUUUCGCAUGAAACUUUAACCAAAGGAGUAAUCUGCUUUGAGAUGGGCCCGCGUCCCAUUAGCUAGUUGGUAAGGUAAUGGCUUACCAAGGCAACGAUGGGUAGCCGACCUGAGAGGGUGAUCGGCCACAUUGGAACUGAGACACGGUCCAGACUCCUACGGGAGGCAGCAGUGGGGAAUAUUGCGCAAUGGGGGAAACCCUGACGCAGCAACGCCGCGUGGGUGAUGAAGGUUUUCGGAUCGUAAAACCCUGUUUUCUGGGACGAUAAUGACGGUACCAGAUGAGGAAGCCACGGCUAACUACGUGCCAGCAGCCGCGGUAAUACGUAGGUGGCAAGCGUUGUCCGGAUUUACUGGGCGUAAAGGGUGCGUAGGCGGAUGCUUAAGUGAAAUGUGAAAUACCUAGGCUUAACUUAGGGGCUGCAUUUCAAACUGGGCAUCUAGAGUACAGGAGAGGGAAACGGAAUUCCUAGUGUAGCGGUGAAAUGCGUAGAGAUUAGG
RNAcentral lists this ribosomal RNA (675 nucleotides) under uncultured bacterium. RNAcentral describes it as "bacterial SSU rRNA". It matches the Rfam family "Bacterial small subunit ribosomal RNA", at positions 11 to 701 of the family's 1533-position model. The record is from RNAcentral.